RNAcentral lists this ribosomal RNA (945 nucleotides) under uncultured bacterium. RNAcentral's name for it is "bacterial SSU rRNA". It matches the Rfam family "Bacterial small subunit ribosomal RNA", at positions 108 to 1070 of the family's 1533-position model. The record is from RNAcentral.
GAGGAACACGUGAGAAAUCUGCCUUCAACUCUGGGAUAACUCCGGGAAACCGGGGCUAAUACCGGAUAUGAAACCUUCAGGCAUCUGAGGGUUUGGAAAGUUUUUCGGUUGAAGAUGAUCUCGCGGCCUAUCAGCUUGUUGGUGAGGUAAUGGCUCACCAAGGCGACGACGGGUAGCCGGCCUGAGAGGGCGACCGGCCACACUGGGACUGAGACACGGCCCAGACUCCUACGGGAGGCAGCAGUGGGGAAUAUUGGGCAAUGGAGGAAACUCUGACCCAGCGACGCCGCGUGCGGGAUGAAGGCCUUCGGGUUGUAAACCGCUUUCAGCAGGGAAGAAGCGAAAGUGACGGUACCUGCAGAAGAAGCACCGGCUAACUAUGUGCCAGCAGCCGCGGUAAUACAUAGGGUGCAAGCGUUGUCCGGAAUUAUUGGGCGUAAAGAGCUCGUAGGUGGUUCGUCACGUCGGAUGUGAAACUCUGGGGCUUAACCCCAGACCUGCAUUCGAUACGGGCGAGCUUGAGUAUGGUAGGGGAGUCUGGAAUUCCUGGUGUAGCGGUGGAAUGCGCAGAUAUCAGGAGGAACACCAAUGGCGAAGGCAGGACUCUGGGCCAUUACUGACACUGAGGAGCGAAAGCGUGGGGAGCGAACAGGAUUAGAUACCCUGGUAGUCCACGCCGUAAACGGUGGGCACUAGUUGUGGGGACCUUCCACGGUCUCUGCGACGCAGCUAACGCAUUAAGUGCCCCGCCUGGGGAGUACGAUCGCAAGAUUAAAACUCAAAGGAAUUGACGGGGCCCCGCACAAGCAGCGGAGCAUGCGGCUUAAUUCGACGCAACGCGAAGAACCUUACCAAGGCUUGACAUAUACAGGAAUAUGGCAGAGAUGUCAUAGCCGCAAGGUCUGUAUACAGGUGGUGCAUGGUUGUCGUCAGCUCGUGUCGUGA